Molecule: long non-coding RNA, 1496 nt
Filed under: Piliocolobus tephrosceles (Ugandan red Colobus)
Lineage: Eukaryota; Metazoa; Chordata; Mammalia; Primates; Cercopithecidae
Description: lncRNA (ENSPTEG00000011724.1)
Source: RNAcentral
AAAAAACAAAAAAGGCAAAAAAAACAAAAAAGGCAAAAAAAACAAAAAAGGCAAAAAAAACAAAAAAAAACAAAAAAAAUUCAUAUUAUUAAAGUGAAUGGUAGAACAAAUAAAAAUAAUAAAAAAAAAAAGUUGUGUUAACAAUUAAUACAUGUUUAUUCACCCAUGUUAUCACCCGAUUACCCUUUUAACUAUUUUUGCAGGCAUGUGUUACAGCAUUAAGGAAAAAAAACUCAAGUGCAAUCAAAAAAUUACUACACUAAGGCUAUAUUAUUUUUGCAUUUUAGUACUAAUAGAAAUGAUUAAAACAUGUAUAAAAAAUGCACGUUUUCAUAUCCUGUGGACUAAAGAGGAGCUCGCAAGCUUAAUCGAAGAAGAUAACAAUGGGUACAGCCAAAAUAAGAACAAGCUAGACACUACUAAUGAUAAGUCAGAUAGUAAUAAUGAUAAACCAGAUAGUAAUAAUGAUAAACCAGAUAGUAAUAAUGAUAAAUCAGAUAGUAAUAAUGAUAAACCAGAUAGUAGUAAUGAUAAACCAGAUAGUAGUAAUGAUAAACCAGAUAGUAGUAAUGAUAAACCAGAUAGUAGUAAUGACAAGGUAGACUGUGUUGAGAAAAAGGCUAUUAAAACAGAAAGCAUACAUGACACAAUAAACUAUCUUAAAAAUUUUGUGUUUAAGAAAUCAACAGAUAAGAACGACGUAGGUAGCAAUAAUAGCGAAAAGGAUGAAAAAAAGGAUGAAAAAAGCGAUGACAAUAGCCAUCGUGAUGAUGAAGCUAGUUGCCAAAAUAACAAUAACAAUGGAGGAGAGGAUAUAAAAAGUGAAUGUAUAAAAAAAAAUAACAGUGGAAAUGACAGUGGAAAUAACAGUGGAAAUGACAGUGAAAAUAACAGUGGAAAUAACAGUGGAAAUAACAGUGGAAAUAACAGUGGAAAUAACAGUGGAAAUAACAGUGGAAAUGACGGUAGUGAAAUAAACGAAACUAUGCUUAGCCAAAGUACAGAAGUAACACAAGAAGGACAAGUACAUGAUAAGAGUAAGACUGAUGUAUAUGAAGGUAAUUGUUUGGAUAAUAGUUCUGCUCGAACUUCUAAAGAAAAAUCAUGUGUUGAUGUCAUUAGUGAUGGAGUAGUUCAAAACGAAAAGGAGUUAGAUAACUUAGAACGUGAUGAAGACACAAAUGAACAUAUUCUAAGCGCAUUCAAAAACGACAGUAGUAAUAAUAAUGGUGAUAUUUUUAUAAAAUCAAAAAAAGGAGUUAACAUAAUACACAUAGUAAACACAACAGUAGAUAGUAACGAAAAUACAAAAGAAAAAAUGGACCUUUUGCGCAUGAAUAUAACAAGUUUCCCAUUAAUAUAUGACUUAAGUAUUAAUAAAAUAAUGGAACUGCUUUCAUUUAAGAGAGUAAAAGAAAAUGAUGAAGAGGCAAAAAAAAAUGAUGAAGAGGCAAAAAAAAAUGAUGAAGAGGCAAAAAAAAAUGAUGAAGAGGCAA